RNAcentral lists this ribosomal RNA (407 nucleotides) under uncultured bacterium. Its description in RNAcentral is "partial 16S ribosomal RNA". It matches the Rfam family "Bacterial small subunit ribosomal RNA", at positions 29 to 526 of the family's 1533-position model. The record is from RNAcentral.
AGUGAACGCUGGCGGCGUGCCUAAUACAUGCAAGUCGAACGAGUGGCGCACGGGUGUGUAAUGUAUAGCUAAUCUGCCCUACACUAGAGGACAACAGUUGGAAAAGACGGCUAAUACUCUAGAGUGUAGGAUGGGGCUAUAUUGUAUCAGCUAGUUGGUGAGGGAAUGGCUCACAAAGGCUAUGACGCAUAACUGGUCUGAGAGGAUGAUCAGUUACACUGGAAGUGAGACACGGUCCAGACUCCUGCGGGAGGCAGCAGUAGGGAAUAUUGCUCAAUGGGGGUAAGCCGGAAGCAGCAACGCGGCGUGGAGGAUGCCAUGUUGCGGUGCGUAAACUCCUUUUGUUAGGGAAGCGGUACCUAACGAAUAAGCACCGGCUAACUCCGUGCCAGCAGCCGCGGUAAUUC